Molecule: long non-coding RNA, 5428 nt
Filed under: Sus scrofa (pig)
Lineage: Eukaryota; Metazoa; Chordata; Mammalia; Artiodactyla; Suidae
Description: lncRNA (ENSSSCG00045009452.1)
Source: RNAcentral
CGUCGGGCUGCGCCUCCGCGCUGCGCUGGCUUCCUCCUGGCCCCGGGGCGGAAGCGGUCACGCAGGGAAGCGGAGAGCCGCGGGUCACCCGCGCUCGGGUCCAGCAGUCGCUGCCUCCCACCCACGGGAGUCUGGCCCAGCGGGCGCACAGCUCGCGUUUGUUGAAUGAAUGCACACAACGAACGGGGAUCCUCACCUGUGCCUCGGACCCACGUCCGGGCCCGCGGACCCGGGAUCCAGUGCCCGGACCUGCGGACCCGGGAUCCAGUGCCUGGACCAGAAGUCUGCCCCUGCGGGCCCGACAUGUAAUGCUGCAGACCCACAUCCAGUACUGCAGAGCGAGAACCAGUGCUGUAGACCUCAGGCCCAGUGCUCAGACCCACGUCCAGGACUUUGACCCGAUCGACGUCUAGGCCUGCAGACCGAGGUCCAGGGCUCAGACGCGGGAACUGGUUCUGUAGCCUGGAGCUCCAGUGCCACAGACCUGCGUCCAGACCUGACAGCAGAAGAAUGCUGGGGGCCAGUGUGAGGGUACUGGCAGGAGUUCGGUUCUGAACUGCAGUUCUCAAAAUAUCUUUGCUUGAAAGGAGACAGCGGGCAGGCCUUGGGGGCCAGCAGUUCUGUGCUCUGACUUCAGCCCUGCUCCUGUGGUGCGGCGUUGGGAGCUGGACAGUUAUACUCACCUACUUUUCAAGGGUUGUUACGAGGAUUCAAUAAAAUAAUACAUGGUUCAACCUCAAUAUUCAGAGGUUCCCUACUGCAAAUUCACCUACUCGCCAAGAUGUAUUUGUAACUCCAACAUCGGUCCUUCUGACACUUGCACGGUCACUCAGGGACGGGUGCAAAACCGUGAAGUUGGUCACCCAACAUGCGUGGCCACAGCUGAGGUGAGACACGGCUGCGAUGUGCCUUCUUGUUUCAGCUCAUGCUGCAAACCAGAGCCAUUUUCCUGCUCCACUUAGGGCUACAUUUUUUUUUUCACAUACUUAGGCUUUUUCUUGGUGAUUUCAUAGUUUUAAGCAGAUUUCAAGGAGUUCCUGUCAUGGCGCAGUGGAAAACGAAUCAGACUAGGAACCAUAAAGUUGCGGGUUCGAUCCGACGAGCAAGGUCAGUGGGUUAAGGAUCUGGCGUUGCCAUGAGCUGUGGUGUAGGUCACGCAGCUCGGAUCCCACAUUGCUGUGGCUGUGGUGUAGGCCGGCGGCUACAGCUCCGAUUCAGCCCCUGGUCUGGGAACCUCCAUAUGCCACAGGUGCUGCCAAAAAUUACUUAAUUAAUUUAAUAGAUCUCAAGUCUAGUGCUGCUGUGCUGUCCAGCGUCCUAAGAACAAGACGGCUUCGACCUGCCUUAUGGCGAAAAAAUGUAUUGGAAAAGCUUCGUUCUGGCUGAGUUACAUGCUGGUGGCUGUGAGUUACAUGUUAAGGAAUCAGUAAGGCGCACAGAGCAGACCAGGCUAUGGGUUGAUCCACUGAGGAAAGUGCUGUCAGGCUUGAAGGACCCCGACCUGUGUCUCCCUCGGAAGCAGAGCCUCAGUCUUCCUAAUCCAGUGUUUGCGGCAACUUGCAGGUAACCUGCAGAAAACAAGAAUUCACUGUACGUGUAAACACACAGGCCCACUUCGUGUCAACCGAACAGAUGUUGGGUUUUGCAGGUAUAAUCGCUAGGGUUGUUUCGUCAUGUGUGAUUUCUGCUCUGGGUCGCUGUCUCCCUUCCCAUCUGUGGAAGGAAAGCCUAAAUGCAGUUGGUCCUGUUGCGAGAGUUCUGUGACAUGGAGCCACGAGGCCACAGAGGAAGGUGACAGACAAGCCUCAGCCUGGAUGGAAUCUCACCUUUGACCUGAUGAAGUGUCCAGAACACCUGCCAGAAACUCAAGAUACUUAUCGGACUCUCACCCUAAAAUAACUUGGAGCAGUCUGUCUAUUUAUUGGACCCCUGCCCUGAACCACUUACGAUGCCAUAAGGAUAUUCCUUAAGGAUGAGUAUUUUCUGACUGGCAUCUGUCUCUCACUCACCCUGCAACUUUUUAUUUUUUAUGGCCACACCUGCAGCAUAUGGAAGUUCCUGGGCUGGGGGUUGAAUCAGAGCUGCGGCUGAGGGCUACACCACAGCCAUGGCUACACCAGAUCCUUAACCUGCUGAGCAAGGCCAGGGAUCAAACCUGCAUCCUCAGGGACACUAUGAGCCACCCACUGAGCCACGAUAGGAACAACCACCACCAGGCAAAUUGUAACAGCCUCGUUGCUUUUUUCCCUGUUUUUCUCCUUGCCUGGCUGUCUGUCUUUGUAAGCUCUGAUCCUUUCUUUUCCUUGGAGAAAGUAGUUGCAUCUGAAUCUGGGUCUCCUGGAGUGCAAUUCUUUUUUUAAUUACUCAAUGAAUUUUGUUACAUUUAUAGUUGUACAACGAUGGUCACAACCCAAUUUUAUAGCAUUCCCACCCCAAACCCCAGCCCAUCCCCCCACCCCUCAUCCUGUCUCCUUUGGAAACCAUCGGUCUGUUCUGCAAAGAAGUUCAUUGUGUCCUUUUUCUUUAGAUUCCACAUGUAAGUGAUAGCAUUUGGUGGUGGUGUCUCACUAUCUGACUGACUUCACUUAGCCUGAUAAUUUCUAGGUCCAUCCAUGUUGCUGCCAAUGCCAUUAUUUCUUUCCUUUUAAUGGCUGAGUAAUAUUCCAUUGUGUAUAUGGACCACAUCUUCUUUAUCCACUCCUCUGUCGAUGGACAUUUAGGAUGUUUCCGUCUCUUGGCUAUUGCAAAUAGUGCUGCAAUGAACACUGGAGUACAUGUAUCUUUUGAGUAGUGGUUUUCUCUGGAUAGACACCCAGGAGUGGGAUUGUUGGAUCAAAUGGUAGUUCUAUUUUUAGUUUUCUGAGGAACCUCCAUACUAUUUUCCAGAGUGGUUGCACCAAUUUACAUUCCCACCAACAGUGUAAUAGGGUUCCUUUUCUCCACACUCUCCAGCAUUAAUUGUUUGUGGACUUUUUGAUGAUGGCCAUUCUGGCCAGUGUAAGGCGGUACCUCAUAGUGGCUUUGAUUUGCAUUUCUCUAAUAAUGAGUGAUGUUGAACAUCUUCUCAUGUGUUUUUGGCCGUCAUACGUCUUUUUUGGAGAAUUGUCUGUUUAGACCUUCUGCCCAUUUUUUGAUGGGGUUGUUUGUUUUUUUGGUAUUGAGCUGCAGGAGGUGUUUAUAAAUGUUGUAGAUUAAUCCCUUGUCAGAUACUUCAUUUGCAAAUAUUUUCUCUCAUUCUGUGGGUUGCAAUUCUUAAGACCCCAAGUAAACGUCUUAUGUGCAGCCUCCUGCAUUCUUUUUAUUUUACGUAUUUUUUUGCCUCACCAAGCCAUGGGCAAGUCCUGGGCCAGGGAUCAAACUCUCGCCCCAGCAGUGACAACGCCAGAUCCUUAACCUGCUGUGCCACAGGGGAACUCCUGCAUUCUUUCUUUCGCUCAUGCCUCCUGGUGAACAAUGGAACAGUCUGCAGGGAAGCCAGGACCUCUUGCCCAUAAUCCUAGGAAAAAACCUAGGCUCUUCCUAGCUGCUUCCUCUUCCUGCUUCUUGGCCACAGAGCUUCCGGAGCCAGUGGCUUUUCCAAACACAAGGUACUCAGACAAGUAGGAGACGGUUCCAAAUGGUGAGACAAGGCUUGAGAGUGACUCUCCUGGACCCUGGAUGAGAGUUCUGGUCCAAGCCCCCGGCCAGAGUCGGGGAGACAAUAGCCAGCUCUGGUGGGAGAGCCCCUGGUCUGGGAGGCAGAGGUUGCCCUUGGGGAAAGGGGGGAGGGGAGGCCGCCCCUCCCACGACAGGACCUCUGUGCCCAGGGGAGCCCCGGCACAGAGCACAUGGGUCCACCAGCUGACUGUGGUCAAAGAGGCUGGUCCCAGGGGGCCUUAGGAGACUUAACACUGAAUAAAGGCAUGUUGGAACCUUUCUCCAGUGGCAACGUUUUAAACAUUUUGAAACAAAUAUAAUAUAAAGCAUCUCAAAUUUCCUGUUCUCAUUUCUUAGCUUUCAUACAGUUCUUUGUAGUAAAACAUAUCAGACACUCUCACUAGACAAUUCAGGUAGGAAACUACACUUGAAUCUGAACCCCUAAGUUGUUGGAAGUACCUUAGAAAGUGCAGAACCUUUGAAUUUGGGAUAGAGCCGUUUGGCUGUUUAUUGGGGCUCCUAUGCUUAAUCGCAUCUCUGGACAUGACUGCAUGUUGCAUGUACAAAAUGCAACACCAGGAGUUCCCGUGGCGGCUGUGUGGGUUAUGGACCCAACUUUGUGAGGAUGCCGGUUCGAUCCCUGGCCUCACAGCAUAGGUCACAGACGCGGCUCGCAUCCUGUGUUGCUGAGGUUGUGCUGUAGGCCGGCAGCUGCAGUUCUAAUUCGACCCCUAGCCCGGGACCGUCCAAUAUGCCGUGGGUGUGGCCCUAAAAAGGAAAAAAUAAAUAAAUGAAAAAACAUAAAAAACCACAGCUCUUCUUACUUGAGUUCUGAGGUCCCAGAUUACCUGUGAGUGAACAAAGUCGGUGGCCUGUGACCAGGUCUGUGGCCACAGAAUCCUGAGGCCACAGUGGGGAGCAGAGGCCGAGAGGCUGCUCCAGGCGGAGGGUCAGGACCUGCCUUCAAGGUGCGGCUGGGAGAGGAGGGCUCAGGGGCCUUGCCUAGAAGGAACGUUCCAGAAGUGAAGAGAGAAGAGGCAAACCUUCAGCCAACCAGACUUUCUUCUAGUCCUGCUUCCUCCGCUCCCAGACAGACCCGUAUUCCUGACAUCAGCCCUGGAGAUGACACUGAGCAGCUGACGACCUGCCAGAAGGCGGCGCGCACUCCACGUGUCCCCAGGCAGGAGCCUGGCGCCACUACCCCGCUCCCGCCGGGCCACCAGGGACGCGGAGACGAUGGCCAGAUGUGCGGGCGGGCAGAUGACACGGGGUUUGACAACGCCUCCGUCCCAGGAGACGCGGGGCACAGAAGUGGCCGAGGUCAGCUCCACUGCUGCGUGGAGAUCCGUCUAAACCUGGUCAUCUCCGUCGUCCGCCGCGUCCUCAGACCAGAAGACCUUCGGUAUCGUGAUAACAAGCGACGCAGCGAGUUAGUGUAACGCACAGAGCUGGUCCCGCCCCAGCCCCAGCUCCUCUCUCAGGCCUCACACAGCACCACAGCUUUCUUUCUAUGAUGCAUGAUGUGCACACGUGUGUACAAGCCUGCACACACGCUUCGUAAACACGCAGAGACUCACGUGUGGCCAGGCCUCCCUGAUCAGCGUGUAGGACCCAGUGUGCCACCCGCAGGCUUUCCCCACGGUUCUCAUCGCACUGCUUGUGAUCUCGCCCCACCCCCACCCCCCAUGCCCCCAGAUUCCUUUCUUGGUAGUUUCCUCCUGACCUGUGGGUCUCCUCCUCGGGGGAGCCUUCUGGAAAGUUUUUUUUCAUUGCAAUACAGUUGAUUUACAAU